RNAcentral lists this transfer RNA (70 nucleotides) under Troglocarcinus corallicola. Its description in RNAcentral is "tRNA-Pro". It matches the Rfam family "tRNA". From Rfam's summary of the family: Transfer RNA (tRNA) molecules are approximately 80 nucleotides in length. Their secondary structure includes four short double-helical elements and three loops (D, anti-codon, and T loops). Further hydrogen bonds mediate the characteristic L-shaped molecular structure. tRNAs have two regions of fundamental functional importance: the anti-codon, which is responsible for specific mRNA codon recognition, and the 3' end, to which the tRNAs corresponding amino acid is attached (by aminoacyl-tRNA synthetases). tRNAs cope with the degeneracy of the genetic code in two manners: having more than one tRNA (with a specific anti-codon) for a particular amino acid; and 'wobble' base-pairing, i.e. permitting non-standard base-pairing at the 3rd anti-codon position. The record is from RNAcentral. Lineage: Eukaryota; Metazoa; Arthropoda; Malacostraca; Decapoda; Cryptochiridae.
GCAAAGAGUAGUUUAAAAUUAAAAUAGUAACUUUGGGAGUUAAUAAUAAAGGUGUUUCUUUCUCUUUGAC